AUCAACCGAGAUUCCCUUAGUAGUGGCGAGCGAACGGGGACCAGCCCUUAAGCUGUAUUGAUGUUAGCGGAACGCUCUGGAAAGUGCGGCCAUAGUGGGUGAUAGCCCUGUACGCGAAAACAUCUUUACAGUGAAAUCGAGUAGGACGGAGCACGAGAAACUUUGUCUGAAUAUGGGGGGACCAUCCUCCAAGGCUAAAUACUACUGACUGACCGAUAGUGAACUAGUACCGUGAGGGAAAGGCGAAAAGAACCCCGGAGAGGGGAGUGAAAUAGAUCCUGAAACCGUAUGCGUACAAGCAGUGGGAGCCCACUUUGUUGGGUGACUGCGUACCUUUUGUAUAAUGGGUCAGCGACUUAUUUUCAGUGGCAAGCUUAACCGAAUAGGGGAGGCGUAGCGAAAGCGAGUCUUAAUAGGGCGUCUAGUCGCUGGGAAUAGACCCGAAACCGGGCGAUCUAUCCAUGGGCAGGUUGAAGGUUGGGUAACACUAACUGGAGGACCGAACCGACUACCGUUGAAAAGUUAGCGGAUGACCUGUGGAUCGGAGUGAAAGGCUAAUCAAGCUCGGAGAUAGCUGGUUCUCCUCGAAAGCUAUUUAGGUAGCGCCUCAUGUAUCACUGUAGGGGGUAGAGCACUGUUUCGGCUAGGGGGUCAUCCCGACUUACCAAACCGAUGCAAACUCCGAAUACCUACAAGUGCCGAGCAUGGGAGACACACGGCGGGUGCUAACGUCCGUCGUGAAAAGGGAAACAACCCAGACCGUCAGCUAAGGUCCCAAAGUUAUGGUUAAGUGGGAAACGAUGUGGGAAGGCUUAGACAGCUAGGAGGUUGGCUUAGAAGCAGCCACCCUUUAAAGAAAGCGUAAUAGCUCACUAGUCGAGUCGGCCUGCGCGGAAGAUUUAACGGGGCUCAAACCAUACACCGAAGCUACGGGUAUCACUUAGGUGAUGCGGUAGAGGAGCGUUCUGUAAGCCUGUGAAGGUGAGUUGAGAAGCUUGCUGGAGGUAUCAGAAGUGCGAAUGCUGACAUGAGUAACGAUAAUGGGUGUGAAAAACACCCACGCCGAAAGACCAAGGUUUCCUGCGCAACGUUAAUCGACGCAGGGUUAGUCGGUCCCUAAGGCGAGGCUGAAAAGCGUAGUCGAUGGAAAACAGGUUAAUAUUCCUGUACUUCUGGUUAUUGCGAUGGAGGGACGGAGAAGGCUAGGCCAGCUUGGCGUUGGUUGUCCAAGUUUAAGGUGGUAGGCUGGAAUCUUAGGUAAAUCCGGGAUUCUAAGGCCGAGAGCUGAUGACGAGUUGUCUUUUAGACAACGAAGUGGUUGAUGCCAUGCUUCCAAGAAAAGCUUCUAAGCUUCAGGUAACCAGGA
Molecule: ribosomal RNA, 1366 nt
Filed under: Pseudomonas psychrophila
Lineage: Bacteria; Pseudomonadati; Pseudomonadota; Gammaproteobacteria; Pseudomonadales; Pseudomonadaceae
Description: partial 23S ribosomal RNA
Rfam family: Bacterial large subunit ribosomal RNA
Source: RNAcentral